UCAAACAUCAGUUCUCGUACGAUCACCGAAGUUAAACUACGUCGAGCCUGGUCACUAUGUAGAUGGGUAACCUCUUUUGAAUACCAGGUGUUGCAAG
Molecule: non-coding RNA, 97 nt
Organism: Acanthosepion pharaonis
Lineage: Eukaryota; Metazoa; Mollusca; Cephalopoda; Sepiida; Sepiidae
Source: the annotation of a GenBank genome assembly